This 497-nucleotide ribosomal RNA is filed under the name uncultured bacterium. RNAcentral describes it as "partial 16S ribosomal RNA". It matches the Rfam family "Bacterial small subunit ribosomal RNA", at positions 28 to 507 of the family's 1533-position model. The record is from RNAcentral.
GAUGAACGCUGGCGGCGUGCCUAAUACAUGCAAGUCGAGCGAACAGACGAGGAGCUUGCUCCUCUGACGUUAGCGGCGGACGGGUGAGUAACACGUGGAUAACCUACCUAUUUGACUGGGAUAACUUCGGGAAACCGGAGCUAAUACCGGCUCAUAUAUUGAACCGCAUGGUUCAAUAGUGAAAGACGGUUUUGCUGUCUCUUAUAGAUGGAUCCGCGCCGCAUUAGCUAGUUGGUAAGGUAACGGCUUACCAAGGCAACGAUGCGUAGCCGACCUGAGAGGGUGAUCGGCCACACUGGAACUGAGACACGGUCCAGACUCCUACGGGAGGCAGCAGUAGGGAAUCUUCCGCAAUGGGCGAAAGCCUGACGGAGCAACGCCGCGUGAGUGAUGAAGGUCUUCGGAUCGUAAAACUCUGUUAUUAGGGAAGAACAAAUGUGUAAGUAACUAUGCACGUCUUGACGGUACCUAAUCAGAAAGCCACGGCUAACUACGUG